AUUGAACGCUGGCGGUAUGCUUAACACAUGCAAGUCGAACGGUAACAGGCCUUCGGGCGCUGACGAGUGGCGGACGGGUGAGUAAUGCAUAGGAAUCUGCCGAUUAGUGGGGGACAACUUAGGGAAACUUAAGCUAAUACCGCAUACGUCCUACGGGAGAAAGGUGGGGAUCUUCGGACCUGCCGCUAAUCGAUGAGCCUAUGUUGGAUUAGCUAGUUGGUGGGGUAAAAGGCCUACCAAGGCGACGAUCCAUAGCUGGUCUGAGAGGAUGAUCAGCCACACUGGGACUGAGACACGGCCCAGACUCCUACGGGAGGCAGCAGUGGGGAAUAUUGGACAAUGGGCGAAAGCCUGAUCCAGCAACGCCGCGUGACUGAUGAAGUCUUUCGG
This 390-nucleotide ribosomal RNA is filed under the name uncultured bacterium. RNAcentral's name for it is "bacterial SSU rRNA". It matches the Rfam family "Bacterial small subunit ribosomal RNA", at positions 30 to 421 of the family's 1533-position model. The record is from RNAcentral.